UUCCUUGCUGAGGCACGCGCCUUGGUAACUGCGCUGAAACUAGAACCAGGUCUUUCUAAUCCUCAAACAGUUGCUUUUCCCUCCUUCCUCUGUCAGCAGCUCUCUGUUCUGCUGAGCACAACAGAGCACAGGAUGAAGAGGGUCAAGUAAUCCUGGGAAGUUCUGGUGACAAUGACAACAGACUGGGCUCAUUCAAGCAAGUGUUCUUAAAUCCCAAGAGAAGGAGAAACAUCACUAAGCUUCCUCCCGGCAGAGAAAAGGCUGUUGAACAAAGAAGAGAUCAGGACAGAUACCAGACUUUGCACUUGCAAUUCUGGAAGCUGGAAAACAGAAAAAUCUACAGAGGUUGAGAAAAUGGGAGACAUUAUUUAAAUGUGAGAAAAGAGAAAGCAGUUCUUAUACA
Mastomys coucha (southern multimammate mouse) is the source of this 403-nucleotide long non-coding RNA. RefSeq lists it as uncharacterized. The record is from RefSeq and is a predicted model, not a curated record. The transcript is spliced from 2 exons. Lineage: Eukaryota; Metazoa; Chordata; Mammalia; Rodentia; Muridae.